UACGAAGGGGGCUAGCGUUGCUCGGAAUCACUGGGCGUAAAGGGUGCGUAGGCGGGUCUUUAAGUCAGGGGUGAAAUCCUGGAGCUCAACUCCAGAACUGCCUUUGAUACUGAAGAGCUUGAGUUCGGGAGAGGUGAGUGGAACUGCGAGUGUAGAGGUGAAAUUCGUAGAUAUUCGCAAGAACACCAGUGGCGAAGGCGGCUCACUGGCCCGAUACUGACGCUGAGGCACGGAAGCGUGGGGAGCAAACAGG
Molecule: ribosomal RNA, 253 nt
Filed under: uncultured bacterium
Lineage: Bacteria
Description: partial 16S ribosomal RNA
Rfam family: Bacterial small subunit ribosomal RNA
Source: RNAcentral